RNAcentral lists this long non-coding RNA (1639 nucleotides) under Mus musculus (house mouse). RNAcentral's name for it is "long non-coding RNA chr1:38992677-38994316". Lineage: Eukaryota; Metazoa; Chordata; Mammalia; Rodentia; Muridae. The record is from RNAcentral.
GGUACAGAGGCUUACAGGCAGCUCGACAACUGUUUAGGACAGAGUAAUGUGGAGAUUUUUAUAUUAUGUGUGUAUAUGUCUCUGUGGGUUUGUGUCUGCGAGUGGAAUGUCUGUGGAGUUCAGAAGAGUGCAUUGGACCCUCUAGAGUUACAAGCAGCUGUGAGCAGCCUGACAUGAUGCUAGGAAUUGAACUUGGCUCCUUUGGAAGAGGAGCGAGUUCUGUGACCACUGAGCCUUCUCUCCAGCCCAGCUUAGCGAUGUAGGCAGGGAAUUGGGUUUGUCUUUAUUGAGUUAGAAGAGUCACGGCUGGAGGCAUACAUGUUGGGAGUUGUCAGCAUAUUCCUGGUAUUGUGGGAUUCGACAGAUAAAGAAGAAAAGGAGACAAAGAACUGGGUCCUAUUUUUUUUUUUUUUUUCUUGUGGGGGGUUGAAGCCAGGGUCUCUCUAUGUAUCUCUGGCUAUCCUGGAACUCACUCCUUAGAUCAGGAUCAACUAAGUGUUGAAGGCACAGGACAGAUAGAGGACAGUCCUCAGAGUAGGCAAUGGUGGCUUGCGAGAGAUGCUUUUCAUUACCCAGUUAAGAGGAUAUUGCCUGACUUGAUACCAAGAAGAAAGAAUAUUUAUCACAGUAAAAAUAAGAUGCAGAUUUCUGUGCAGUUGGCUACAUGGAAAGAUUGUGCUGCCUGCCAUAUACAAGACAACACUACUGGGGACAUUUGGGGCUGGCGCAGUGAUGACGAUUAAGAGCCCUGGCUGCUCUUGCAACAGACUUGGUUUUGGUUCCUAGCUCUCAUAUGGUGGCUCAUAAUCAUCUGUAACUCUAGUUCCAGGAACUCCAGCACCCUCUCUUGGCUUCUGAGGACUUCAGGUGUGCAUGUGGUACACAUAUGUAUAUGCACGUAGGCAAGACAUAUAUGAAUACAAAUAAAACUUCUUGUUUGUUUGGAGACUGGAUGUCACUGUAUAGCAUUGGGAAGCCUAGAACUCACUAUGGAGACCAUCUGGCUAGCCUCAAAUUUAGAAUUCCAGCUGUGCCUGCCUCUGCAGCAAUGGGAUUAAAGGUGUGGGCACCACUCCUGGCAAUAACUAAAUCUUAGAAAGGAAAAACAGACUAGGAAUGAGGUGAUGGUCACCUGUAGGAAGGAGAUGCUUGCUUAUGGAGGGCCUGCUGUCUUUCCCCACCUGCGAUGGUGUGUGGUCCGAGAAUGGCCCAUGAUAGCCAUGUUUCUGGUUUUGAGUGAGUAUUAAGUAUACAGCAAACCAAUAGCAGAUAUAUGCAAGUAGCAAACCCUUAACAAACUGUGUGCUCAGAGCAUCCAGCAGAAAUCAGCUGAAGAAGAGAGCUUCCCGGGUGGGUCAGAGUGGCUGCUCAGAUAAGGCUUUCAAGUAAAGAGACAAAUGUCAGAGAUAGAGAUGACAUCAUCAAAUCAGGCACUCACAGCAUCUGUCGGAAACCGGCUGAAGAAGCUGAGGCAGUCAGCUGGGGUUCCCAGUUGAGCUUUCUUUGCAUGGCUGACCUGGGUUCUCUUUUCUGCUGCAGGACUUUGGUUCAUAGGAUACAUCAUCGGUUCUCAGCACGAGAUCGAAUAUCAGAUAUUUACGUCAUGAUUCAUGACAGUAGCAAAAUUACAUACAGUAGC